AGAGUUUGAUCCUGGCUCAGGACGAACGCUGACGGUGUGCUUUAGGCAUGCAAGUCGAACGAGAAAGCCCUUCGGGGUGAGUAGAGUGGCGAACGGGUGAGUAACACGUGGGCAACCUGCCCCUCGCAGGGGGAUAACCGGAGGAAACUCCGGCUAAUACCCCGUAAGCUUUCAGGGUCGCAUGGCUCUGUAAGGAAAGGUAGCUUCGGCCAUCCGGCGAGGGAUGGGCCCGCGGUGCAUUAGCUAGUUGGUGGGGUAAUGGCCCACCAAGGCGACGAUGCGUAGCUGGUCUGAGAGGAUGAUCAGCCACACUGGGACUGAGACACGGCCCAGACUCCUACGGGAGGCAGCAGCCAGGAAUCUUGGGCAAUGGGCGAAAGCCAGACCCAGCAACACCGUGUGGGCGAUGAAGGCCUUCGGGUCGUAAAGCCCUGUUGAUAGGGACGAAGGGCGAAGGGUUAAUAGCCCCUAGCCUGACGGUACCUUUCGAGGAAGCCCCGGCUAACUACGUGCCAGCAGCGGCGGUAAUUC
RNAcentral lists this ribosomal RNA (531 nucleotides) under uncultured bacterium. RNAcentral describes it as "bacterial SSU rRNA". It matches the Rfam family "Bacterial small subunit ribosomal RNA", at positions 8 to 526 of the family's 1533-position model. The record is from RNAcentral.